CCUACGGGAGGCAGCAGUGAGGAAUAUUGGUCAAUGGGCGCGAGGCUGAACCAGCCAAGUCGCGUGAGGGAAGACGGUCCUAUGGAUUGUAAACCUCUUUUAUCGGGGAACAAAAGACUCCACGCGUGGCGUUCCGAGAGUACCCGAAGAAAAAGCAUCGGCUAACUCCGUGCCAGCAGCCGCGGUAAUACGGAGGAUGCGAGCGUUAUCCGGAUUUAUUGGGUUUAAAGGGUGCGCAGGCGGAAUAUCAAGUCAGCGGUAAAAUUGAGAGGCUCAACCUCUACGAGCCGUUGAAACUGGGUUUCUUGAGUGAGUGAGAGGUAGGCGGAAUGCGUGGUGUAGCGGUGAAAUGCAUAGAUAUCACGCAGAACUCCGAUUGCGAAGGCAGCAUACCGGCGCUUAACUGACGCUCAUGCACGAAAGUGUGGGGAUCGAACAGGAUUAGAUACCCUAGUAGUC
This 459-nucleotide ribosomal RNA is filed under the name uncultured bacterium. RNAcentral's name for it is "partial 16S ribosomal RNA". It matches the Rfam family "Bacterial small subunit ribosomal RNA", at positions 338 to 795 of the family's 1533-position model. The record is from RNAcentral.